UAAUACAUGCAAGUCGAGCGGUAAGGCUUUCACAGAUAUUUAACCAGAUAAGUUCUUCGGAAAACUGUUUGCAGCGAUGAUUCCCCGGCUAGGGAAUCAGAGUUGAAUAAUGCGUGAAAGUACACGAGCGGCGGACGGCUGAGUAACACGUAGGAACGUACCCCAAAGUGAGGGAUAAGCACCGGAAACGGUGUCUAAUACCGCAUGUGAUCUUCGGAUUAAAGCUUCGGCGCUUUGGGAACGGCCUGCGCAUGAUUAGCUUGUUGGUGAGGUAAAAGCUCACCAAGGCGACAAUCAUUGGCUGGUCUGAGAGGAUGAUCAGCCAGACUGGGACUGAGAACGGCCCAGACUCCUACGGGAGGCAGCAGUAGGGAAUUUCCACAAUGGACGAAAGUCUGAUGGAGCAACGCCGCGUGCAGGAUGAAGGGUUUCGGCUCGUAAACUGCUUUUAUCUGUGAAGAUUAUGACGGUAGCAGAUGAAUAAGGAUCGGCUAACUCCGUG
RNAcentral lists this ribosomal RNA (502 nucleotides) under uncultured bacterium. RNAcentral's name for it is "bacterial SSU rRNA". It matches the Rfam family "Bacterial small subunit ribosomal RNA", at positions 49 to 507 of the family's 1533-position model. The record is from RNAcentral.